GGCGCGGCGGGGGCGGGGGGCGCGGGGUCCCGCGGAGCGGCGCGGAGCAGCGCGCACAGCCCCGGGGCCGCCGCUCCCGGGACGGUCGGUGCCGCCGCCCUGGGCGCAGGUAUCAGAAGUUCUGCUCACCUGCAGAGAGGUAUAAAUACUGAGGUUCCCAGGAUGUAAGAAAUGCAGUGCUGUGUCAUGCAGCUGACAGGUCUACUGGCGGAGCUGAUGGUCACAGCCAGGGUGGAAAUUCUUCAUUAAACAAAACAGAGUAAAGUAAUCAAGGAAGGUUGGAGUUGUUUGCAAGAUCUAUUGAGUUGAUCGCCCACCCUGUCAAAAAAAAAAGUCACCACUUGGGACAACAGCCCACUGCCAGGGGCUGCCAUGGCUAGCAAAAGAAAGUCAACCACGCCCUGUAUGGUGAGAGCUUCUGAAGUCACAGAGCAGGAAGGUGCUGAGGGCGCAGAGGCUCCUAAAGAGAAGGGGGCUGGCACCCUGCAGCAGGACUCUAAGAAAAGUUGGCCUUCAGAAAGCUCUGUCAAAGACUGCGAAGUGGUUGAGGCAAAGCCCCCAACUGAAAAUCCCUCUAAGAAGCCCCAGGGUGGUUAUGAGUGUAAAUACUGCCCUUACUCAACACAAAAUUUAAAUGAAUUUACAGAGCAUGUUGACACUCAGCACCCAAAUGUCAUUCUCAACCCCCUCUACGUCUGUGCUGAAUGCAACUUCACAACCAAAAAAUACGAUUCUUUAUCUGACCACAACACAAAAUACCACCCAGGAGAGACUAACUUUAAACUGAAAUUAAUUAAACGCAAUAAUCAGACUGUUUUGGAGCAGUCCAUUGAGGCCACUGCAAACAAUGUCACUGUCGCAAGUGGUGGGCUAGAAAAUGCAGAGUGUGAUGAUUCCCUUCAUGGGGGAAUUAGUGCAAGUAAAACACCAGUGAUGAAACUGGGAAAGCCUAAAGGGGAAACCAAGAAGGGUCCCAAAAAGCCAGAAGAGGGAGUUACAGAAAACCAUAUGGAUGGUGCUCUCCCCCGCAUCAUAACUGAAGCCACUGAAGCUAUUGCUUGUAUAAAUGGAGACCUUCUCCAUGAUGUCUUAGCCCACGUUAUGCCCUCUGUACAGCUACCACCAAAUAUUAACCUUGUCCCCAAGGUCCCGGUACCUCUGAACAGUACCAAAUACAACUCUGCACUGGACACUAAUGCAACCAUGAUCAACUCCUUUAAUAAAUUUCCUUACCCAACACAAGCAGAAUUGUCGUGGUUGACAGCAGCAUCCAAACAUCCAGAAGAACAAAUCCGAAUCUGGUUUGCUACGCAACGUUUGAAGCAUGGCAUAAGUUGGUCUCCUGAAGAAGUGGAGGAGGCAAGAAAGAAGAUGUUCAAUGGCACUAUCCAGGCAGUUCCCCAAACAAUCACCGUCUUGCCAGCUCCUUUGACAACUGCAAAAAUGCCCCAGCCCAUCAUCCAGACAGCUUUGCCUUGUCAGAUACUGGGCCAGACCGGUCUGGUUUUGACUCCAGUGUCAAAUGGUUCAACAGUUUCCUGCUCACCAAUUACACUUGCUGUUGCCCCAAACCAGGGGCAAAAGAGGACAAUACAGACCUUAUCAAGUGCCCCAGAGGCCAAGCGUCCUCACGUAGUUCAGGUGCCUGAGAUUCCUGCCAAGUUGACUGCUGUACCACUGACACCUGCCAGUGAGCGAAAAAAGACAAAGGAGCAGAUAGCAGAACUGAAGGCCAGUUUCAUGGCAAGCCAGUUUCCUGAUGAUGCAGAAGUCUACCGGCUGAUAGAGGCCACAGGUCUCUCCAGGAGCGAGAUCAAGAAGUGGUUCAGUGACCACAGGUACAGAAGUCAAAAGGGUGUUGUGCAUAUCCCUGGCGAUGCUUUAGGGAAAGAUCAAAUAGCACCUUCAGCUGGUCGGCACAGCCGUUCGUUUCACCCAUACACAGAUUUUACUUCCCAGAGAUUCAAAGAGAAAUCCCAAGAGCAGCUUAAGGCCCUUGAGGAGAGUUUCCUAAGGAGCUCUUUUCCUACCCAAGGAGAAUUGGAUAGGCUUCGAGUGGAGACUAAGCUGAGCAGGAGAGAGAUAGAUUCAUGGUUCUCUGAGCGAAGAAAGAUAAGGGACAGCAUGGAGCAAGCUGUCUUGGAUUCAAUGGGAUCAUACAGAAAAACUAAAGAACAAGGAACUCCCAACGGUGCAAUAAGCCAGACAGAACUGCUGACUAGCUCCCAGCUCCCUGGUGCUUUAUCUGGGUCCUCCACCACGUUUAAGAAAAACCAAGAACAGAUUCAUCUACUGAAAAGCACAUUUGCAAGGACCCAGUGGCCAUCGCCCCAGGAGUAUGACCAGUUAGCAUCUCAGACUGGGCUGACAAGAACUGAAAUAGUUCGCUGGUUCAAAGAGAACAGGUCUUCGCUAAGAACAGGGUCACUUAAAUGGAUUGACCAGUACCAGCAGCAGCACGUUCUUGAUGGUCAUAAUGAGCAAAGCCAGAAAAAGGGAUCAAAGAACACUGAGAGUCCAAAGAAUGGUAACGAGGUAUCUCGGCAGCAUUACCAGGAGCAUAAAAAACUGAAUGAAGAGAAUGGGGGGAAGCUAGUGGUGAGAGCAAAAAGAGACUGUGAACCACUGAAAGAGUCUUUGUUGGGGAAUCAAGCAGAGGGUACAGACAAGUUGGAGUGUAACAGCCAUGGCAGCGAGGAGAAUGAGGAGCCAGCAGAGGUCAACUGGGUGGAGGUGACAGUGGGUGAGGAUGACGCUGCCUCGGACUGUACGGACAGCUGGAGCCACACAGCACCUGAAGGCCAGGCAGAGCUGGCAGACUUUGACUCUGAAAGUAUAUCUGGAGAAAAUUCCCAUGUAUAGACAGGUAAUGCUGGUGGGGCCCUGUUUCUCUGAGCCUGCAUUUGUCUGGGUGUGCUUCCAGCAUCCCGUUGCCCCUCUUCAGUAUAAAGUCCUGGAGCCUAUCCCUGCUGGAUCCUUGUGCCUGCUGGAUGCCUGAACACAGGGGAGACCCAUCCUGGUUGUAAAUUAAAGCAGCUGCGUGUUAGGGAGGGGUUAGUGCUGUUUGACUUGUUUCUUGUCUCCUUGUGGAUCAAGUCCUGGGGGUACUCCUGAGCUGCACUGCCCUGACAUUGAAGGGGAAAUGCUGUCUGAAAAUAGAAGAAAGCUCUAUUUUCCUGCCUGGGGUGAGAAAGUGAGUUGUGACUCCAAGUCUCGGCCUGCGCUUGCAGAGGCACAGCAAGAAAUACCCUCGUGGAGCAUCAUCAUGGGAUCAUUUAUAGUGCCAAAGUCCUACUACUGCAUUAAAAAGAGAAGAAAGAAAGAGGAAAGGGCCCUUGUACAUAGGUUUCUCCUUAGCUUCUCUCCCACUGACUUUCCUGCCCAGCCUCUGCCUCUACUGGAACAGAUUUGUACAAUGUGGAAAUUUUGUUAACUUUUUAAUAGGUGCAAGUUAUUCUUGCAUAUAAUGUCAUUGCAAAAUCUGGGGGUUGGCUUGGGGAAGGGAAGUGUUUUUUGUGGGGAAGGGAGAGAAGAUUUUUUUCCUGAAGUGUUUUAGGACAGAUUUGCAAUCUUUUGGAGUCUCAGUGUGGAUCAACAUCUGAGCCUAGAUCUCCACCCCGGUUUACAUUUCAGGCCACUUAAACACUUUACGGGGUUGGGGAGGGUCCUUCUGGAGUGGUUAGAGUUUGGGUUUUUUUCUUGUUGUUUUGACUUUUUUGUUUUGUUUUAUGGCCACCUGCUACUGGUUGAAGUAUUUAAAUCUCUGUUUUUCUGUGCUCCUACAAGGCGAAUCUUCUCCAGCUUCUGUACUUCAUUUUUCACAAGUCAGGCCCAGCUGUGGGUCUCUGAAGAUUUGGCUAGAAUGCCAUUUUUGUUUUGUUUUGUUUUUUAGCACUUUUUGUUUAAACAUGCAGUACAACCCCCGAGGGGUUGGAGUGAGGAAACUGAGAUGCUUCAUAAUCUGAAUUUUUUGUGUUUCUCCAGCUGGUACAACAAUGGACACCAUGACCAAGAGUCUGCCCUCCAGCUUUAGAUGUUGUAGUGCACAACAGAAAUUUCUGAUUAACCUUUGCCACUAAAUUUUUAGUUCAAUCCUAGGUUCCUGAGUGCACUUUUUAUUCAAGUACUGCUAAUUUGGUUUUGUGUGGGAGUGUCUGUCCGUGCACAUGUGAGGAGCAGGAGAAGGGAGAGCAGGAGUGCGGUUGCAAAUGUGAGUGGAUGCAAGAGCCAUUCAGUGUGUUCCUCUGAUGAGUUGGGUUUGGGAAACUUACCACCUUUCAGUACACUGCACAAAUAUGAUGCUAGGGAGUUUGAAUAAAUACAACUUUUCUAACUUGUUGCUCAUUUGUUGUAACCCAAUAAAACAAAGGCUAAACAUUUUUGUAACCUU
This is an RNA transcript of Apus apus (common swift), 4390 nucleotides long. It is a transcript of the gene named zinc fingers and homeoboxes 2, with no coding region annotated. NCBI's taxonomy places the organism in Eukaryota, Metazoa, Chordata, Aves, Apodiformes, Apodidae. The transcript is spliced from 4 exons. The record is from RefSeq and is a predicted model, not a curated record.